This is a long non-coding RNA of Drosophila serrata, 328 nucleotides long. RefSeq lists it as uncharacterized. The record is from RefSeq and is a predicted model, not a curated record. NCBI's taxonomy places the organism in Eukaryota, Metazoa, Arthropoda, Insecta, Diptera, Drosophilidae.
CCAUCCCUAACAUCGGCAUUCUUCCGCUCAUUUCGAGAUUGACGAUUUUUGUGCACAAAUUUCAACCAUGCCACCUCCACGCCAAUACACUGUGGAAAAGAAAACUUCGAGACGAGUCUCUGUUGAAGGUGAUCUGCAACUUAUGGAGCAACAUGUAAAGUACGAGAUGACGCUUGUUAUGAAGAAUUAUACAACAGCUUUACACAUCUUUAACAUUGUCAUCGUUAUGCUAAUAACUGCUAUUGUGACAAUUUCGACAUUAUACUUCUAUUACUAGCAGCAGCAGCAGCAGCAGUUAAUAAAAUCUCACUUACCGAGAUUUAACCUA